AGCGAACGCUGGCGGCAGGCCUAACACAUGCAAGUCGAACGGAUCCUUCGGGAUUAGUGGCGGACGGGUGAGUAACACGUGGGAACGUGCCCUUUGGUUCGGAACAACUCAGGGAAACUUGGGCUAAUACCGGAUGUGCCCUUCGGGGGAAAGAUUUAUCGCCAUUGGAGCGGCCCGCGUCUGAUUAGCUAGUUGGUGAGGUAACGGCCCACCAAGGCGACGAUCAGUAGCUGGUCUGAGAGGAUGAUCAGCCACACUGGGACUGAGACACGGCCCAGACCCCUACGGGAGGCAGCAGUGGGGAAUCUUGCGCAAUGGGCGAAAGCCUGACGCAGCCAUGCCGCGUGAAUGAUGAAGGUCUUAGGAUUGUAAAAUUCUUUCAGCGGGGACGAUAAUGACGGUACCCGCAGAAGAAGCUCCGGCUAACUUCGUG
RNAcentral lists this ribosomal RNA (433 nucleotides) under uncultured bacterium. RNAcentral describes it as "partial 16S ribosomal RNA". It matches the Rfam family "Bacterial small subunit ribosomal RNA", at positions 29 to 507 of the family's 1533-position model. The record is from RNAcentral.